AGUGAACGCUGGCGGUAGGCCUAACACAUGCAAGUCGAACGGCAGCACAGUAAGAGCUUGCUCUUACGGGUGGCGAGUGGCGGACGGGUGAGGAAUACAUCGGAAUCUACUUUUUCGUGGGGGAUAACGUAGGGAAACUUACGCUAAUACCGCAUACGACCUACGGGUGAAAGCAGGGGAUCUUCGGACCUUGCGCGAUUGAAUGAGCCGAUGUCGGAUUAGCUAGUUGGCGGGGUAAAGGCCCACCAAGGCGACGAUCCGUAGCUGGUCUGAGAGGAUGAUCAGCCACACUGGAACUGAGACACGGUCCAGACUCCUACGGGAGGCAGCAGUGGGGAAUAUUGGACAAUGGGGGGAAGCCUGCUCCAGCCAUACCGCGUGGGUGAAGAAGGCCUUCGGGUUGUAAAGACCUUUUGUUGGGAAAGAAAAGCAGCAGGUUAAUACCCCGCUGUUCUGACGGUACCCAAAGAAUAAGCACCGGCUAACUUCGUG
Molecule: ribosomal RNA, 492 nt
Filed under: uncultured bacterium
Lineage: Bacteria
Description: partial 16S ribosomal RNA
Rfam family: Bacterial small subunit ribosomal RNA
Source: RNAcentral